RNAcentral lists this ribosomal RNA (446 nucleotides) under Rothia dentocariosa. RNAcentral describes it as "bacterial SSU rRNA". It matches the Rfam family "Bacterial small subunit ribosomal RNA", at positions 28 to 483 of the family's 1533-position model. The record is from RNAcentral. Lineage: Bacteria; Bacillati; Actinomycetota; Actinomycetes; Micrococcales; Micrococcaceae.
GACGAACGCUGGCGGCGUGCUUAACACAUGCAAGUCGAACGAUGAAGCCUAGCUUGCUAGGUGGAUUAGUGGCGAACGGGUGAGUAAUACGUGAGUGACCUACCUUUGACUCUGGGAUAAGCCUGGGAAACUGGGUCUAAUACCGGAUACGACCAAUCUCCGCAUGGGGUGUUGGUGGAAAGCGUUAUGGAGUGGUUUUAGAUGGGCUCACGGCCUAUCAGCUUGUUGGUGAGGUAAUGGCUUACCAAGGCGACGACGGGUAGCCGGCCUGAGAGGGUGACCGGCCACACUGGGACUGAGACACGGCCCAGACUCCUACGGGGGCAGCAGUGGGGAAUAUUGCACAAUGGGCGCAAGCCUGAUGCAGCGACGCCGCGUGAGGGAUGACGGCCUUCGGGUUGUAAACCUCUGUUAGCAUCGAAGAAGCGAAAGUGACGGUAGGUGCA